AAAAACAAAAAAACACUUCAGUGGUUCUAAGUAUAUUCCCAGGGUUGGGUCACCAUCACCAGUAUCUAAUGCCAGAACAUUCUCAUCAUCCCAAAAAGAAGCCCCCUGCCCAAUAACAGGCACUCCCAACCCCCCAGCCCCUGCAACCCUAAUCUGCUCCCUGUCUCUCCAGGUCUGCCUGUUCCGGACAUUUCGUAUGAAUGGAGUCAUACGCUGUGUGACCUUUGUCUGGCUCCUUUCACUGAACCUCGUGUUUUUAAGGGCACCUACCACCAUCUAAACUCCACGAUGGAAGGGAUUUUCCAGAACCUAAAUUGGUACCUGCCCUCUGGAAGCCCUCAGUUGGUACUUGCUGUGUGAAUGGUCACAUGGCUCUAACCUCCAGACCCGAUGAUAGAGAAGUACAAAGUGCUUAGGAGUAAGACGUCAUGAUGUCUGUACUUCACCAUGAAAUUACUUCAGCAAAGACGAAAAUAAAUGAAGCAAUAGGCAGAUGCCUACAAUAACCAAGCCCAGGUGCUGUGUCGGUGUUGCCUGUCCUUGAACUUUACGAAGAUGGAUCACAGCACUCGCUCUUCGUGUGUCACUUCUCUCAGGAAGCAUCGUGUCUGUAAGAUUCACCCAUGAGUUGCAUCAUCCUCUGGCUUUUGCAAAACAGUCUUAGCGCAUAUAGAACAUGUACACGUGUUUGUCUAGGUGUAUACAUACCUGUAGACAUUGUAUCUUUCAGUUUUGCUUGUUUCUGAGCUCUAUGAAACAGCAUCACAGUGCAGAAGAAACAUCAGCCUAAGAAAGUAUGGAACCCACUGGCAGAGGCAAAUACAGAGACGGACACCGGACCCUCGACGACUGUGACGGCACAGGGAAGUCACUUUUAAUUCCAGUAUAAAGUUACAGGACAAAGUAUUACAAAAUAACUGUAACUAAAAAAUAUUUUUAAAAGAUACACACCAUGAACAGAUAUAAAUUGUGACAACAGCAUCAUAGAAUGUAUGUGCGGGGGCAGCUAACAUGUAGGGGUUUUUAUAGGAUUGGACGUAAGUUAUCAGCUUAAAAUAGACUUUUAUAAGAUAUUUUAUGUAAGUCCCAAGGUAACCACAGAAAAUACCUCUACACUUACACGAGAAGGAGAAAGGAAUCAAAGCAUAUCAAUAUUUAAAAAA
This is a long non-coding RNA of Equus caballus (horse), 1163 nucleotides long. RefSeq lists it as uncharacterized. Lineage: Eukaryota; Metazoa; Chordata; Mammalia; Perissodactyla; Equidae. The record is from RefSeq and is a predicted model, not a curated record.